GAGAGCGACCGGUGCUUGCACUGGUCAAUCUGGUGGCGAACGGGUGAGUAACACGUGGGUAACCUGCCCAUCAGAGGGGGAUAACAUUCGGAAACGGAUGCUAAAACCGCAUAGGUCCUUUAACCGCAUGGUUGAAGGAGGAAAAGAGGCGCAAGCUUCUGCUGAUGGAUGGACCCGCGGUGCAUUAGCUAGUUGGUGAGGUAGCGGCUCACCAAGGCCGUGAUGCAUAGCCGACCUGAGAGGGUGAUCGGCCACAUUGGGACUGAGACACGGCCCAAACUCCUACGGGAGGCAGCAGUAGGGAAUCUUCCGCAAUGGACGCAAGUCUGACGGAGCAACGCCGCGUGAGUGAAGAAGGUUUUCGGAUCGUAAAACUCUGUUGUUAGAGAAGAACAAGUGCUAGAGUAACUGUUAGCGCCUUGACGGUAUCUAACCAGAAAGCCACGGCUAACUACGUGCCAGCAGCCGCGGUAAUACGUAGGUGGCAAGCGUUGUCCGGAUUUAUUGGGCGUAAAGCGAGCGCAGGCGGUUCCUUAAGUCUGAUGUGAAAGCCCCCGGCUCAACCGGGGAGGGUCAUUGGAAACUGGGGAACUUGAGUGCAGAAGAGGAGAGUGGAAUUCCAUGUGUAGCGGUGAAAUGCGUAGAUAUAUGGAGGAACACCAGUGGCGAAGGCGACUCUCUGGUCUGUAACUGACGCUGAGGCUCGAAAGCGUGGGUAGCAAACAGGAUUAGAUAUCCUGGUAGUCCACGCCGUAAACGAUGAGUGCUAAGUGUUGGAGGGUUUCCGCCCUUCAGUGCUGCAGUUAACGCAUUAAGCAC
This 819-nucleotide ribosomal RNA is filed under the name uncultured Granulicatella sp. RNAcentral describes it as "bacterial SSU rRNA". It matches the Rfam family "Bacterial small subunit ribosomal RNA", at positions 64 to 867 of the family's 1533-position model. The record is from RNAcentral. Lineage: Bacteria; Bacillati; Bacillota; Bacilli; Lactobacillales; Carnobacteriaceae.